CCUACGGGUGGCUGCAGUGGGGAAUAUUGGACAAUGGGCGAAAGCCUGAUCCAGCCAUGCCGCGUGUGUGAAGAAGGCCUUCGGGUUGUAAAGCACUUUCAGUGGGGAAGAAAGCCUUGGGGCUAAUACCCUCGAGGAAGGACAUCACCCACAGAAGAAGCACCGGCUAACUCCGUGCCAGCAGCCGCGGUAAUACGGAGGGUGCGAGCGUUAAUCGGAAUUACUGGGCGUAAAGCGCGCGUAGGCGGUCUGAUAAGCCGGUUGUGAAAGCCCCGGGCUCAACCUGGGAACGGCAUCCGGAACUGUCAGGCUAGAGUGCAGGAGAGGAAGGUAGAAUUCCCGGUGUAGCGGUGAGAUGCGUAGAGAUCGGGAGGAAUACCAGUGGCGAAGGCGGCCUUCUGGACUGACACUGACGCUGAGGUGCGAAAGCGUGGGUAGCAAACAGGAUUAGAUACCCCUGUAGUC
This 465-nucleotide ribosomal RNA is filed under the name Vreelandella stevensii. RNAcentral describes it as "partial 16S ribosomal RNA". It matches the Rfam family "Bacterial small subunit ribosomal RNA", at positions 338 to 795 of the family's 1533-position model. The record is from RNAcentral. Lineage: Bacteria; Pseudomonadati; Pseudomonadota; Gammaproteobacteria; Oceanospirillales; Halomonadaceae.